ACGGAGGAUCCGAGCGUUAUCCGGAUUUACUGGGUUUAAAGGGUGCGUAGGCGGGCCCCUCAGUCAGCGGUGAAAGUCUGCGGCUCAACCGUAGGAUUGCCGUUGAUACUGGGGGCCUUGGAUUCGGUCGAGGCGGGCGGAAUGCGCGGUGUAGCGGUGAAAUGCGUAGAUAUCGGGAAGAACACCGGUGGCGAAGGCAGCUUGCUGGGCCGAUACCGACGCUGAGGCACGAAAGCGUGGGGAUCAAACAG
This 251-nucleotide ribosomal RNA is filed under the name uncultured prokaryote. RNAcentral's name for it is "partial 16S rRNA". It matches the Rfam family "Bacterial small subunit ribosomal RNA", at positions 525 to 775 of the family's 1533-position model. The record is from RNAcentral.